AGCCUACUCUAGCCCAACUAUACCCACCACUGUAAUAGCCAAAAAUUUACUCAACCUCUAAACUAAAACAUUCUCCAAACUUAGUAUGGGCGAUAGAAAAGACACUUUGGCGCGAUAGAGACUCUGUACCGUAAGGGAAAGAUGAAAUAACAAUGAAAAACAAAGCAAUAAACAGCAAAGACAAGCCCUUGUACCUCUUGCAUCAUGAUUUAGUAAGAAUAAUCAAGCAAAAUGAAUUUAAGCUUGCCACCCCGAAACCCAAGCGAGCUACUUGCAAGCAGCUAUCCAUGAGCGAACCCGUCUCUGUUGCAAAAGAGUGGGACGACUUGCUAGUAGAGGUGAAAAGCCUAUCGAGCUGGGUGAUAGCUGGUUGCCUGUGAAAUGAAUCUGAGUUCUCCCCUGACCGUUUUCCCUCGGACGCUGCCUUAACCUUAAUGUAACAGGUCAGGAGUAAUUUAAAGGAGGUACAGCUCCUUUAAAAAAGAAGACAACCUCCACUAGCGGAUAACUACUCAAUUAACACAACCGUGGGCCUUCAAGCAGCCACCAACAAAGAGUGCGUCACAGCUCUACAUGUAAAAAUCCCAAUAACUAAACGACUCCCUCUCUACUAACGGGCUAACCUAUAACAAUAGAAGAAUUAAUGCUAAAAUGAGUAACUAGGGGUCUACCCCUCUUAAGCGCAAACUUACAUUCUCACAUUAUUAACAGACUAUAAACUAAUAUUACAACUCUAACAAGAUUAAAAUAUUUAAACCUAGCCCUGUUACCCCGACCUAGGAGCGCCUAUUAGAAAGAUUAAAAUCUGUAAAAGGAACUAGGCAAACCCAAGGCCCGACUGUUUACCAAAAACAUAGCCUUCAGCCAACCAAGUAUUGAAGGUGAUGCCUGCCCAGUGACAUUAAUGUUUAACGGCCGCGGUAUCCUAACCGUGCGAAGGUAGCGCAAUCAAUUGUCCCAUAAAUCGAGACUUGUAUGAAUGGCUAAACGAGGUCUUAACUGUCUCUUACAGAUAAUCAGUGAAAUUGAUCUCCCUGUACAAAAGCAGGGAUACCCACAUAAGACGAGAAGACCCUGUGGAACUUAAAAAUCAGCGACCACCUCACAUAAUAAUCCAAACCUAACAGGCCCACACACCCCCCAAAUAUUGGUCUGCAUUUUUCGGUUGGGGCGACCUUGGAGAAAAACAGAUCCUCCAAAAAUAAGACCAAACCUCUUAACUAAGAGCCACCUUUCAACGUACUAACAGUAACCAGACCCAAUAUAAUUGAUCAAUGGACCAAGCUACCCCAGGGAUAACAGCGCAAUCCCCUCUAAGAGCUCACAUCGACGAGGGGGUUUACGACCUCGAUGUUGGAUCAGGACAUCCUAAUGGUGCAGCCGCUAUUAAGGGUUCGUUUGUUCAACGAUUAACAGUCCUACGUGAUCUGAGUUCAGACCGGAGCAAUCCAGGUCGGUUUCUAUCUAUGAUGAACCUUCCCUAGUACGAAAGGACCGGGAAAGUAGGGCCUAUACCACAAGCACGCCCUCUCUUUAAGUAAUGAGUGCAACUAAAUUACCAAAAGAUCCACACCCCCUUACUCCUAGAAAAGGACCA
This 1597-nucleotide ribosomal RNA is filed under the name Numenius minutus. Its description in RNAcentral is "16S ribosomal RNA". It matches the Rfam family "Bacterial large subunit ribosomal RNA". The record is from RNAcentral. Lineage: Eukaryota; Metazoa; Chordata; Aves; Charadriiformes; Scolopacidae.